Long non-coding RNA from Glycine soja, 2971 nucleotides. RefSeq lists it as uncharacterized. The record is from RefSeq and is a predicted model, not a curated record. Lineage: Eukaryota; Viridiplantae; Streptophyta; Magnoliopsida; Fabales; Fabaceae. The transcript is spliced from 4 exons.
UUCUUUCUUCGUGGUUCUCUUGGGGCAGAAGCAGGUUGUGAAGUGUGAGAGGAGUAUGGGUCCCAUCAACAUAAGGGGUGAAAUAGAGAGUUGAUUGGGAAGGAACUGAGUUACAGUGAAUUUGUGGAGAGAUAUAUGGAGAAGAACCAGCCUGUGGUGCUCACUGGCCUAAUGGGCCUAAUGGACCCUCUUCAUUGGAGGGCUUCUACUGAUUGGGUCACACAUAAUUCCCAACGCAACUUUCAAUUUUUCUCCACUCAUUUUGGUGCUUCUAAAGUUCAGGUUUAUAUAUCCAUCCAUACAAUACGGGAGGAAGGUUGCUGAUUGUGACACCAGAGAAUUCACUGAUCAGAAAAGAGAGGAGAUGUUGGUCUCAGAUUUUGUAGCACGUUGCCUUCUGUGUAAUGAUGGUAAUCGUUCAAGUAAUGCUGCCUCUGUGCCUAUACCGUAUUAGAAGGAUUGGCAUUUUGUAAAUGUGUGUCUUUUAGCUUUUUGUCACUUCUCUAUUGAUUAAUGUUCCUCAUAUUUAUCCUAUCUUUCCUGAGUUUUGUAAUCUUUGAUGGGUCAAUUUGGUGUCCCGCCACAAAUUUAGAGAUGGAAAACCACCCGUCCUUUUUUUUUAACUCAUUUUCCCUGCAUUCUCGCAUUUUAGCUAAUCAGAAUUGUAGGAUGAAAGACUCAUAUUUUAUCUAAAAAAAUCUAACUUAAAAUAUAUAUCUGAAAUGUGAACCAUCUGAUCUUCAUCUGAUGGGUCUGACUUCCGAUGCCUGAAUGCAAGGAUCCAAUUCAAUUUUUUAAGGAGGUACCAAACUUACUGUAAAAGUUAAGUUUUUUACUUUUACAUUAUCUCUUCUUUUCAAAAGUGUCAUGGUUCAUAUUGUCAAUCUGAAUGAUGCUUGGACUUGGGAAGCAGGGCUGGUUGUGCUUUGUGGAUAACAAAAGUUGACCACUUAACAUUCCCAUUCACAUUUGGUUCUUAAUCAAGGCUUUUUAAGUUAUUUUCCAUUGGAGUACCCUGAAUAUGUAGCAUACGUCACUCCAAUGUUCUCUUCUGAUGACUGGCUCAACCCUGUAUCUUGACAACUUCAGGGAUUCUUCUGACGCACACCAACCAAAUGAGGAAAUAUGUUGCUCUGACUAUCAAUUUGUUUUCAUGGGGGUGAAAGGAUCUUGGACUCCUCUUCAUGCUGAUGUUUUUAGGUCCUAUAGCUAGUAAGCAAAUGUCUGUGGAAAGAAUUGAUGGCUUUUUCUAGAUCCUUCCCAGUGUCAUCUUGUAUUUGACAGGCAUGAAUGCAUUACCAAAUAGAAAUAAAUGGCAUCUUUUCCAAAUAAGAAUUUGGGCACGGAUAAAAAAAUCUAUUUGGAUCCAUCAAUACUUAGUCUUUUUCCAAAUUACCUAUCAGCUAUGAUUUACUAUUUACCCCCCAUCUUUGCCAAACUUCUUAUUCUUAGAAGAUGACAUUCCCUUAUUCCUCUCACAUUCUUUCUUUGUUUGGGUUCGCUCUGCAUAAAAGGAAUCAUUGUUGCUUCUUUUUUUUGUUGGUUUUUCUUGGAAGGUGGGUUUGGAUUGCUUUGAUGUGUUGUCUUUUUGCUUAGUUGUCAAAACUAAGUUCUUGGCAACUUUGAUUCAGGAAUAUGAAAAAUUGUGUAUACAAUAUCUUUGAUGAAGUAUCUAACUCAAAGUUUCCUGGUUUUAGGAAGGUAAAUUUCUAGUUUCCAUUUUUUCAUCAAUCUUAUUGUUUUCGAUUAGACUUUUCUGCUUCAGCCUUCAGUUGGUUUGUAUGUGUGUGCUGGCUAUCUGGUUAGAAUGCACAGAAGAUGCAGGUGAAAUUAUAUUUGUUCCCAGUGGAUGGUAUCAUCAAUUUCAUAAUUUGGUAUGUUCUGGUUCACUAUCUGAAUUGCUGUUAUAUUUCUGCUUGAUUUUGGAAGUCUGUCCUGCAGUCCCUUUAAACAAGCCAACAAGGAACAUUUUGAUAUACCAAAUAAGUAAUGACCGUGUAAUACUUACAUUUCCACUUGGUUUGGCCCCAGAAAAUUGUAUUGACACUAUUAGCUUCUUAGAUUGUGCAGACUACAAGAGCCUUCCCUUGCUGUUUAUAUUUUGCUGUGUUCCAAAUGGAACAUAUGUUUGAUUUAUUGCAUCUCUGAUAAAUCUAAUGUUCUCAAGGAAGCUAGAAAACCCAUGGGAACUAGUGAUGAAAAGAUGUGGUUUCCAUGAAUUCUCUAUUAGGAUCAUUGACAUAUAGUGAAAACUUCCCACUGAGCCUAAAAAAUUCAUGGUUAGUUGAUUGAUUGGAUUAGGUUUAUGUUCAGAAACAAUUAUUUGAAAUGGUUGUUUGCAAUUUUUUUUAGGAAACUGACAAAAUAAGUGACUAUUUCUCCAAAAAUAAGGUGAACUGCACACGCUAGAGUCUAUAAGCAUAACAAUAAAACUAUUCGGAUAGAAACUGAUGUAGCUUUUGAAAACAUUUAUUUUCAGAACAAAUAGAUUUCUGUCUACAUCAGCUUUAUCAUCAGAUGAUUUUGUCCAUGAUAUUUGAUAUGAUCUAAUCAUUUGAUGGUGUCUACCUCUUUCAGGAGGAUACGAUAUCUAUAAACCACAAUUGGUUCAAUGCCUAUAACCUUUCUUGGGUGGUAAAUUGAGAAAUGCAAUGAACUACAUAUUUGAGACUCAAGCUCUACAAUAAAUAUAAUUGAACUAAGUUUAUCUCAUGAAUUUUCAUUCUAUAACAGCGGAAUUUAGUUUUAAGGGACUACAAUGAGGCCAAGGAAUAUAUAGAAGACAUCAAGGAUAUAUGUGAUGAUUGAAUUUUUCAUAUUCUGUUGGGGCAAACUAUUGUGGACAUCUUAAAUUAAAGAUCUAACUCAAUAGUAUAAAAAUCAGUGGUCAUCCUAGGUUGAUUUGUUAAUUGUUAAGGAAUUUUCUGAUGAUCAACUAUGAAUAAAGAAAGGAUCAUGGUAUUCUUUUUAA